Molecule: ribosomal RNA, 253 nt
Filed under: uncultured prokaryote
Description: partial 16S ribosomal RNA
Rfam family: Bacterial small subunit ribosomal RNA
Source: RNAcentral
AGACGAACUGUCCUAACGUUGUUCGGAAUCACUGGGCUUAAAGGGCGCGUAGGCGGUCCAACAAGUCGGGGGUGAAAUCCUGCAGCUCAACUGCAGAAGUGCCUUCGAUACUGUUGGUCUUGAGGGAAAUAGGGGUGUGCGGAACUUCCAGUGGAGCGGUGAAAUGCGUUGAUAUUGGAAGGAACGCCGGAGGCGAAAGCGGCGCACUGGAUUUCUUCUGACGCUGAGGCGCGAAAGCUAGGGGAGCAAACGG